AGCUCAGCAUUGGGCUUAAAGCGUGCGCAGGCGGUUUUGUAAGACAGAGGUGAAAUCCCCGGGCUCAACCUGGGAACUGCCUUUGUGACUGCAAGGCUGGAGUGCGGCAGAGGGGGAUGGAAUUCCGCGUGUAGCAGUGAAAUGCGUAGAUAUGCGGAGGAACACCGAUGGCGAAGGCAAUCCCCUGGGCCUGCACUGACGCUCAUGCACGAAAGCGUGGGGAGCAAACA
Molecule: ribosomal RNA, 230 nt
Filed under: uncultured Alicycliphilus sp.
Lineage: Bacteria; Pseudomonadati; Pseudomonadota; Betaproteobacteria; Burkholderiales; Comamonadaceae
Description: partial 16S ribosomal RNA
Rfam family: Bacterial small subunit ribosomal RNA
Source: RNAcentral